RNAcentral lists this ribosomal RNA (494 nucleotides) under uncultured bacterium. RNAcentral describes it as "partial 16S ribosomal RNA". It matches the Rfam family "Bacterial small subunit ribosomal RNA", at positions 28 to 507 of the family's 1533-position model. The record is from RNAcentral.
GACGAACGCUGGCGGCGUGCUUAACACAUGCAAGUCGAACGGUGAAGCGCCUUCCUUUUUGGUGGGUGUGGAUGAGUGGCGAACGGGUGAGUAACACGUGAGUAACCUGCCCCCUUCUUCUGGAUAACCGCAUGAAAGUGUGGCUAAUACGGGAUAUUCUGGGUCUGUCGCAUGAUGGGUCUGGGAAAGAUAUUGUUUCGGUGGGGGAUGGGCUUGCGGCCUAUCAGCUUGUUGGUGGGGUGAUGGCCUACCAAGGCGGUGACGGGUAGCCGGCCUGAGAGGGUGGACGGUCACACUGGGACUGAGACACGGCCCAGACUCCUACGGGAGGCAGCAGUGGGGAAUAUUGCACAAUGGGCGCAAGCCUGAUGCAGCGACGCCGCGUGAGGGAUGGAGGCCUUCGGGUUGUGAACCUCUUUCGCUAGUGAAGCAGGCCUGCCUCGUUUGUGGGUGGGUUGACGGUAGCUGGAUAAGAAGCGCCGGCUAACUACGUG